Xenopus laevis (African clawed frog) is the source of this 1987-nucleotide long non-coding RNA. RefSeq lists it as uncharacterized. NCBI's taxonomy places the organism in Eukaryota, Metazoa, Chordata, Amphibia, Anura, Pipidae. The record is from RefSeq and is a predicted model, not a curated record. The transcript is spliced from 3 exons.
CUCACAAUCCUCUGACUCUGGUGGAUCAGGCUUGCCCACAGAAGAAGAGGCACUUCCUCUAGAAUAUUUUCUGGUCCAAAGCAACUUUUUACGCUUUUGUUCUGUAAAAAAAAAAAGGGUAGGCUUUCUUGUGCUACUGUGUUCCUCCAUGGCUUCUCCACUGUGCUGCUGCAUCAGAGGAACCUGUGUGAUGUCACAACCGGAAGUAGGAGGAGCCAGUGAAAUCUGCAAUAAAUACGUUCGUUCGUUUGUUGCGCAGUUUGUGGGACCGAACGAGCUGAUCUAGAUCGUAGAAUUAUCCCUUCGUCUUUCUACGAAUUUUCUUGCUGCUAUCUACUAACAUAAUUUGCUACAUUAUCAACAUGCCAGCAGAAAAAUUUACCAACCCAGAAUUCCUGAGAGAAUUUAUUGAAUUGUACCGGGCCCUUCCUUGUCUCUGGAAAGUGAAAUCGGGAGAUUACAUGAAUAAAAUGAAACGAGAAAAGGCAUAUGAAGAAUUGGCAAACCUUUGCAAAUCAGUGUGCCCUAAAGCUGAUGUUCAAUUUGUGAAGACGAAAAUUUCCAAUGUAAGGACUGUUUAAAAAAGAAUUAAACAAAGUGCAAGCUUCCAAAAAAUCAGGUGCCUCAGCUGAUGACUUAUACUGUAUGUUCCGAAACUAUGGUACUAUGAUCUGCUACUGUUUACAGUGGAUCAGGAGUUGGCAAGGGACUCCAGGUCCAACUUUUCAAGUCAUGUUGAAUCAGAACUGACUCAGGCAAGCCAAUCAGAGGAUGUAACAGCCGUACAAGCGCAUGAUAUCACAGCUAAACAAGUACUUGAAGAACAAGGGGACCACACAGAACAUAUGUCCCAGGUAAGUUCAUAAAAAACACAAUGUAUACAUUUUAAAGAUUAUGUUUACUUUAUUUUAAAAUGAAUGCUGACACAAUUUAGGUACACAUUAACUGCUGAAGCAUAAAACCAUAGCUGAUAGCAUUUUAAAACCAUAGCUGAUUGCAAUUUUUAAACCAUAGCUGAUUGCCAAUCUACUGCGCCAGUGCCAUUGAAGAAAUCAACAUAUUUCUCUCUGCUUAAUUUGGCCUCAAUAGUAGCAUUUCAUGAUGUAGCAGCUUGCAGUUCCAAAAGUCCAUUUGGCUCACUUCGCCACUCGGCUGAUAUAACAGUUUGUUGAUCGAUGUCCUCUCUGUCCACCAUAUUUCCUGGCAAGCGCUGCUUGUGCGGCGUAGAAAGUUAUGUAGCACACAGCAGGCCAAAAGAACACUAUCAAUUUUUAUUGGGGAUAGAUUUAUGGCGGAAUGGAAAAUGCGAAAUCGAUUAGCUAGUAUGCCAAAAGCAUUUUCUACAACCCUUCUAGCUCGAGAAAGUAGAUAAUUGUAAAUUCUUCUUUCAGUUGACAAAUUUUUUUGUAGGAAAGGCUUUAAAACAUGUUUAUGUAAUGCAAAAGCUUCAUCUGCAACACAAACAUAAUUCAUCCCUUCUCUUGAAUCAGAAUUUGAUGGUAGGUGUAAUUGGUCAUUUUUGAGCUGCUGAUAAAAAAAAGGUUUGUUCCAUGGCUCCACCAUCUGAGACUCUUCCAUUUUUCCCCACAUCAACCAUUAAAAAUUUAUAUUUGGCAUUAACUAUUGCCAAAAGCACAAUGCUGAAAUACCCCUUGUAGUUAAAAUAAUAGGAGCCAGAACUGGAGGGAGGCUGGAUCCUCACAUGCUUUCCAUCAAUUGAUCCAAGACAGCUUGGAAAAUUCCAGUAAUCUUCAAAUUGUUUAGCUACUGCUUUCCACUCCACUUCAGUUGAGGGGAACUGCAACAAAAAAAGGGUAAAAAAUUAUAUUCAUUGUAAUUGAUAUGUUACAUUUCUCACACUUUUUUUAUUUUCACCGGCAUCACAACACACUAGCAGUACUAGUGCUUCCAGCUGUCAGGAUCAGCCCGGGACUUGAACUCUGGUGGUGCUGUUCUGGUCAUUUGCAGCACUUACCUCAUGAGCCAC